AUUGAACGCUGGCGGAAUGCUUUACACAUGCAAGUCGAACGGCAGCACGGACUUCGGUCUGGUGGCGAGUGGCGAACGGGUGAGUAAUGUAUCGGAACGUGCCCCGUCGUGGGGGAUAACGUAGUGAAAAUUACGCUAAUACCGCAUACGAUCUAUGGAUGAAAGCGGGGGAUCGCAAGACCUCGCGCGAUUGGAGCGGCCGAUAUCAGAUUAGGUAGUUGGUGGGGUAAAGGCCCACCAAGCCAACGAUCCGUAGCUGGUCUGAGAGGACGACCAGCCACACUGGAACUGAGACACGGUCCAGACUCCUACGGGAGGCAGCAGUGGGGAAUUUUGGACAAUGGGCGAAAGCCUGAUCCAGCCAUUCCGCGUGCAGGAUGAAGGCCCUCGGGUUGUAAACUGCUUUUGUACAGAACGAAAAGGUUUCUACUAAUACUAGGAGCUCAUGACGGUACUGUAAGAAUAAGCACCGGCUAACUACGUGCCAGCCGCCGCGGUAA
Molecule: ribosomal RNA, 500 nt
Filed under: uncultured bacterium
Lineage: Bacteria
Description: partial 16S ribosomal RNA
Rfam family: Bacterial small subunit ribosomal RNA
Source: RNAcentral